CUGCGAUAAGCGCCGGUAAGGUGAUAUGAACCGUUAUAACCGGCGAUACCCGAAUGGGGAAACCCAGUGUGACUCGUCACACUAUCAUUAACUGAAUCCAUAGGUUAAUGAGGCGAACCGGGGGAACUGAAACAUCUAAGUACCCCGAGGAAAAGAAAUCAACCGAGAUUCCCCCAGUAGCGGCGAGCGAACGGGGAGGAGCCCAGAGCCUGAAUCAGCAUGUGUGUUAGUGGAAGCGUCUGGAAAGGCGCGCGAUACAGGGUGACAGCCCCGUACACAAAAGCGCAUGUGCUGUGAGCUCGAUGAGUAGGGCGGGACACGUGGUAUCCUGUCUGAAUAUGGGGGGACCAUCCUCCAAGGCUAAAUACUCCUGACUGACCGAUAGUGAACCAGUACCGUGAGGGAAAGGCGAAAAGAACCCCGGCGAGGGGAGUGAAAAAGAACCUGAAACCGUGUACGUACAAGCAGUGGGAGCACCCUUUGGGUGUGACUGCGUACCUUUUGUAUAAUGGGUCAGCGACUUAUAUUCUGUAGCAAGGUUAACCGAAUAGGGGAGCCGGAGGGAAACCGAGUCUUAAUUGGGCGUUAAGUUGCAGGGUAUAGACCCGAAACCCGGUGAUCUAGCCAUGGGCAGGUUGAAGGUUGGGUAACACUAACUGGAGGACCGAACCGACUAAUGUUGAAAAAUUAGCGGAUGACCUGUGGCUGGGGGUGAAAGGCCAAUCAAACCGGGAGAUAGCUGGUUCUCCCCGAAAGCUAUUUAGGUAGCGCCUCGUGAAUUCAUCUCCGGGGGUAGAGCACUGUUUCGGCUAGGGGGCCAUCCCGGCUUACCAACCCGAUGCAAACUGCGAAUACCGGAGAAUGUUAUCACGGGAGACACACGGCGGGUGCUAACGUCCGUCGUGAAGAGGGAAACAACCCAGACCGCCAGCUAAGGUCCCAAAGUCAUGGUUAAGUGGGAAACGAUGUGGGAAGGCCCAGACAGCCAGGAUGUUGGCUUAGAAGCAGCCAUCAUUUAAAGAAAGCGUAAUAGCUCACUGGUCGAGUCGGCCUGCGCGGAAGAUGUAACGGGGCUAAACCAUGCACCGAAGCUGCGGCAGCGACACUGUGUGUUGUUGGGUAGGGGAGCGUUCUGUAAGCCUGUGAAGGUGUGUCGUGAGGCAUGCUGGAGGUAUCAGAAGUGCGAAUGCUGACAUAAGUAACGAUAAAGCGGGUGAAAAGCCCGCUCGCCGGAAGACCAAGGGUUCCUGUCCAACGUUAAUCGGGGCAGGGUGAGUCGACCCCUAAGGCGAGGCCGAAAGGCGUAGUCGAUGGGAAACGGGUUAAUAUUCCCGUACUUGGUGUUACUGCGAAGGGGGGACGGAGAAGGCUAUGUUGGCCGGGCGACGGUUGUCCCGGUUUAAGCGUGUAGGUGUGUGUUCCAGGUAAAUCCGGUUCACUUUAACACUGAGGCGUGACGACGAGGCACUACGGUGCUGAAGCAACAAAUGCCCUGCUUCCAGGAAAAGCCUCUAAGCAUCAGGUAACAUCAAAUCGUACCCCAAACCGACACAGGUGGUCAGGUAGAGAAUACCAAGGCGCUUGAGAGAACUCGGGUGAAGGAACUAGGCAAAAUGGUGCCGUAACUUCGGGAGAAGGCACGCUGACACGUAGGUGAAGUGAUUUACUCAUGGAGCUGAAGUCAGUCGAAGAUACCAGCUGGCUGCAACUGUUUAUUAAAAACACAGCACUGUGCAAACACGAAAGUGGACGUAUACGGUGUGACGCCUGCCCGGUGCCGGAAGGUUAAUUGAUGGGGUCAGCGCAAGCGAAGCUCCUGAUCGAAGCCCCGGUAAACGGCGGCCGUAACUAUAACGGUCCUAAGGUAGCGAAAUUCCUUGUCGGGUAAGUUCCGACCUGCACGAAUGGCGUAAUGAUGGCCAGGCUGUCUCCACCCGAGACUCAGUGAAAUUGAACUCGCUGUGAAGAUGCAGUGUACCCGCGGCAAGACGGAAAGACCCCGUGAACCUUUACUAUAGCUUGACACUGAACAUUGAGCCUUGAUGUGUAGGAUAGGUGGGAGGCUUUGAAGUGUGGACGCCAGUCUGCAUGGAGCCGACCUUGAAAUACCACCCUUUAAUGUUUGAUGUUCUAACGUGGACCCGUUACCCGGGUUGCGGACAGUGUCUGGUGGGUAGUUUGACUGGGGCGGUCUCCUCCUAAAGAGUAACGGAGGAGCACGAAGGUUGGCUAAUCCUGGUCGGACAUCAGGAGGUUAGUGCAAUGGCAUAAGCCAGCUUGACUGCGAGCGUGACGGCGCGAGCAGGUGCGAAAGCAGGUCAUAGUGAUCCGGUGGUUCUGAAUGGAAGGGCCAUCGCUCAACGGAUAAAAGGUACUCCGGGGAUAACAGGCUGAUACCGCCCAAGAGUUCAUAUCGACGGCGGUGUUUGGCACCUCGAUGUCGGCUCAUCACAUCCUGGGGCUGAAGUAGGUCCCAAGGGUAUGGCUGUUCGCCAUUUAAAGUGGUACGCGAGCUGGGUUUAGAACGUCGUGAGACAGUUCGGUCCCUAUCUGCCGUGGGCGCUGGAGAACUGAGGGGGGCUGCUCCUAGUACGAGAGGACCGGAGUGGACGCAUCACUGGUGUUCGGGUUGUCAUGCCAAUGGCACUGCCCGGUAGCUAAAUGCGGAAGAGAUAAGUGCUGAAAGCAUCUAAGCACGAAACUUGCCCCGA
This 2711-nucleotide ribosomal RNA is filed under the name Salmonella enterica. RNAcentral's name for it is "partial 23S ribosomal RNA". It matches the Rfam family "Bacterial large subunit ribosomal RNA". RNAcentral also lists the same sequence under 1 other name. Lineage: Bacteria; Pseudomonadati; Pseudomonadota; Gammaproteobacteria; Enterobacterales; Enterobacteriaceae. The record is from RNAcentral.